AUCCUCACUCUUGGGAGCAACCCUUCCAAUUCCUGUGUCUUAGCUACUCUUCCAACUUGGAGGAAAGGCUGAAGCUCUUGGUAAAAAGUAUGAAAAAGCUUCAUCACCAUACGGGAAUCCUCCUGUGAUGGUGAUGAAGCCUUUCCAUACUUUUUACCAAGAGCUUGAGGAAGAACUCAAGAAGCAACAUGAUUUUAACCCCUAUAGCAUUGUACUCGAUGAGUCAAGACUUAUUAGGACUGAUCAGCUCUUCAUUGAUAAGAAAAAAGAGAUGGGUGAUGGUAACUUCUCAAUAGUCUACAAAGGAGAUUCAUUGGUGCCUCCGUGCAUCCAGCUGCAUGUGUAAUAAUUAUGGAGUUGGCGGAUAAAAAAUCGCUUGUGGAUAUCAUAGAAGAUGAAGAUGAAGAUCUUGAUUUGAAACAAAAGAUAAACUUUACUCUGGAUAUUAGUAGAGCAAUAAAGCAUGUACAUGAGGAGGGCAUCAUCUACAUGGACUUGAAGCCUGAAAAUAUUUUAGUUUCCAAUGACAAAGUACACUGAAAUUGGUGGAUUUUGGGAUAGCAGAGGAGAAGAGCUCUGAUAUUACCCUUAAAACUUAUGGAUCUACUUCAACUUGAUGGGAAUCAGCCAGACUGUUUCCUUCCCUUCCAAUUGAUGAGAAACUACAUCAUGAGUCAAAAAUGGGCGUCACAUGAAUGAAGUCACGGAGAAUUGGGGUUACUGUCAUUGGAGUUAGAAGAGAGACACAUGAUCAUACCAGUGAGGGAAGGUUGUCAAUUGGUUUGGUUUUGGUUUUGGUUCUGGUUCGAUCUACAUAUAUUGAUAAGAAACAAUAUGGAGUUCUCGCUGGCCACAAGCUUGGAAAUGAGAGAAAGGAGAAAGAUCGCAACCCAUCUUAUCAAUAUUGUGCCCAUAGAUUCAAACAUACUCCACUUGGCAUCAUACUUCAAUGAAUGUAAUUUCACAUAUAGUUUUAGAAAUUUGAACUGUAUAGUGGACAUCCUAGCACGGAAGGCCACGUCAAGUUCUUGAAACAAGCAUAUCUAUAUCCUCUGAGAUCUCUACUUAUACAUGCUUAUAUUUCAGAGGGCAAAGACUCAAAA
Long non-coding RNA from Macadamia integrifolia, 1103 nucleotides. RefSeq lists it as uncharacterized. The transcript has 5 exons. Lineage: Eukaryota; Viridiplantae; Streptophyta; Magnoliopsida; Proteales; Proteaceae. The record is from RefSeq and is a predicted model, not a curated record.